AUGUCUGUUGCAGGUUUUCCAGAGGAAUGGAGGAGCAGUGGAGUAUUGGAGCAUCUCAGAGAAAGAUGGCUGACAGAUAACCGACACUCGCGCUGUGGAGAUACUAAAGCAACAGGUAAGACAAACCCACCCAUUCACUAUAUUACAAUAACUUUUAACUUUUUUUUAAGUCGUCAUUUAUGAUCCGCUUCAUCAGUUUCAUCUAGCAUAUCCAUGUUCAAGCUAAAGUACAUUCAAGCUAAAGUAAUUCAGCUAAAGAAUUCAAGAAUUCAAGCUAAAGUACAUUCAGCUGAUACACCCCGGAAAGUUUUUCCAAAUUAAAUCCAGUUGACCAGUAGCUCCGGAAGACAUGUUGUGAAAAUCACUAUAAGUUUUUGAAAAGUACUACAGGGUUUUAAAUGGGCACACACCCUACUGAAUAAACACUGCUCUGAUCCUUCACACAUUUAUUUUCAUUUAUGGAAUUUUAAAUGUCUUUCCACACAAGGUUUGAUUUUAUGAUUUGUUGUCACACAUACUAAGACUUUUUUAAAGCAUUUAGGAAAAGGAGCCUGAGCAGGUGCAGAAGGCAGCAGUCUGAAUGAUUGCUGUUGAGGAGGAAGAGGAAAUGUCACGAGGGAACCCACUGGAUGUUUUGAUUGUCUUUGAAGAUGAAGAGGUGAUAUCAACCAAGUCUAGGGUCAGUGCACUGCUGUUGUUUUUGCACUUUAUGCCCUCAUUUAGAGUACAUUAACUUCUCAAAGCAGCCUUACAGAAAAUGUACAUUACAAUUUAGCCUGAUCUAUACUAUAAAUACUAUACUUUUCAACUUGAAUAGUGUUGUAUCAUGUGAUUUAUAGUGAUGCUACAUGGGUGUACUUACUUCUGUUGUAUACUGUAUGUUUGACUAAUACACUGGAAGCUGUAUUGAUGUGACAUACUGAUACAGUUCCUCACUGCUAAGUAGUUGGGUUUAAUACAGGAUAUUUACAGUCUGAUGUAGUAAAAAGAAAAGUUGUAUGAACAUGUCCUUUUACUUUGUUAACAAAUGCUGUUUUCGUAGAGUUUCCACUAGGGUUCUAAUGGCAUGAGAUUUUCACGGUAUGAUAAUCGUCCCAGAAAAUAUCACGGUAUUAUAGUUAUCAUGGUACUGUAUAUAUUAAACAACAAUUCUUAUCAGAAACAAUAACUCUUAAAAGAACAAGAACGAAGUUAUUUGAGUGAACAAAUCCUUUAUUAUUGGGCUGCACGAUUAUGACAAAAAUCUAAUUGUAAUUGCGAUUAUUAAUUAUGUUUAUCAAAAUUUACAAAAUGUACAAAAAUAAACAAGCUGAAAACAUAUAUAUAUAUAUAUAUAUAUAUAUAUAUAAAUAAAAAAAAUCUAAAGCAAGUUCAGCAAAAAAGUGAAGUUUAUGUGUUGCUGCUGUGACAAAAAUGUUUUUUUUUUUUUUUUUUUUUAAGAACAUGGUUGGUGCAUUUUAUGUUUUGCGAUGCUAAAACCAUUUAAGGUUUAAAUAAACACUGAAUUGUUAAUAAUUUGUCUCUGUCUGUCAUUGAAGUUAUGUAUUUAUUGUAAUGACCUUAAAAAGUGGAUUCAGCAGUGGGGAGAAAUUUGCAUAUUUUUACUCAAAAAUAAUACAUUUAUAGUAUAUUGCUUGUGUGUUUCAAAGACACUCAUGAUUAAUUUGUAAUGAACUUGUAAUACAAAAAAGUACACUUUAAUAUCACUAAUCAAGCAUGUAAAUAGGUAUAUAAAGUGUACUAAGUAUGCUAGAAGUUGUUCCAAUUUAGCACAACAAAGUACACUAAAUACACAAAGUUAUACUUUAGUAUAAUUUAAUUACAACUAAAAAACACAGUACAAAAACAGUUGUUUCAAAAUAGCACACUUCAAGUUAACUAAUCAUUAACACACUUGAAGUAUACUGACAAGUAGUCUGGCUGCAAGUAUACUGGGUAUAAUUUAUUUAUUUUUUUCACGAGGGGAAGAACAGAUGUAGAAUGAGUUCGGCAAAAGGUGGAUUUGAACUCGGAUCGAUCUAAUCAAAAGUUUUAUCACAAGUCUUACUUCUUUCUUGCUAUUGUUCUUAAACAUGCAUCUUUUGUAAUGAUGUCUAUUCCAACUAGACAUUGGCAUGCAGUGGCGGACUGGGACAGUAAAUCAGGCCGGGAAUUUGACUCCACCCCAGGCCACCUCUGUUGCUGCAGUCACCACCACCCAAUUCAUGUGUCCACCAGACUGCUAAACUUGUAGGCUAACCCUGUUAGUUGAUGUAACAGGUAGACUACCAUACAUAAUAUGAAUGGAUAAAUAAAUAAACCUUCAAAAACUCACUAGGAAUCCACCAUCUAUAUCAUCUUUCCCUGAAUCCCUCUCUCUCUCACUCUGCACAUCUAGUUUCUCUGCUAUAAUAAGCACUUUCAAUAAUCUAUAUUAAUUGUGCAGCCAUCAAUUGUAUGUCCCCAUGAUCACAGUCCUACUAAUGAUUUAUAAAUCAUAAAAGCACAUAUUGUUCUAAGAGUAUAGCCAGCAUGUUUAGUUUUGCUUAUAGCUUAAACUUUACCGGAAGGUUCCUGCUCUGACUCAAAAGCUGAACUGUCCACUCCCUUUUGUUUAACAGCAGGAGCACUUGGAGCACUAGUGCUACUGUUGCUUCCUUCAUC
Molecule: long non-coding RNA, 2643 nt
Organism: Cyprinus carpio carpio
Lineage: Eukaryota; Metazoa; Chordata; Actinopteri; Cypriniformes; Cyprinidae
Source: Ensembl